Molecule: long non-coding RNA, 178 nt
Organism: Dioscorea cayenensis subsp. rotundata (Guinea yam)
Lineage: Eukaryota; Viridiplantae; Streptophyta; Magnoliopsida; Dioscoreales; Dioscoreaceae
Exons: 2
Source: RefSeq, a predicted model, not a curated record
GGUUCGCCCCGCUCCUCUUCCCCAAAAAACUCAAGGGCCGGACAGAGAGUAUUGGGAGUGGAUGCCAAUGAGAUCAAUGUUGGGUUGUGGACCACAUGAUAUAAGGACUUAUGUGCAUAAGUUGUGUAGACAUAUACAACUCAAUUUUUGAAUGGAUCCAAUCUGAUUCAAGUUUGAA